Molecule: ribosomal RNA, 489 nt
Filed under: uncultured bacterium
Lineage: Bacteria
Description: partial 16S ribosomal RNA
Rfam family: Bacterial small subunit ribosomal RNA
Source: RNAcentral
AUUGAACGCUGGCGGCAGGCCUAACACAUGCAAGUCGAACGGUAACAGGAAGAAGCUUGCUUCUUUGCUGACGAGUGGCGGACGGGUGAGGAAUGUCUGGGAAACUGCCUGAUGGAGGGGGAUAACUACUGGAAACGGUAGCUAAUACCGCAUAACGUCGCAAGACCAAAGAGGGGGACCUUCGGGCCUCUUGCCAUCGGAUGUGCCCAGAUGGGAUUAGCUAGUAGGUGGGGUAACGGCUCACCUAGGCGACGAUCCCUAGCUGGUCUGAGAGGAUGACCAGCCACACUGGAACUGAGACACGGUCCAGACUCCUACGGGAGGCAGCAGUGGGGAAUAUUGCACAAUGGGCGCAAGCCUGAUGCAGCCAUGCCGCGUGUAUGAAGAAGGCCUUCGGGUUGUAAAGUACUUUCAGCGGGGAGGAAGGGAGUAAAGUUAAUACCUUUGCUCAUUGACGUUACCCGCAGAAGAAGCACCGGCUAACUCCGU